RNAcentral lists this ribosomal RNA (253 nucleotides) under uncultured bacterium. RNAcentral describes it as "partial 16S ribosomal RNA". It matches the Rfam family "Bacterial small subunit ribosomal RNA", at positions 524 to 776 of the family's 1533-position model. The record is from RNAcentral.
UACGGAGGGAGCUAGCGUUGUUCGGAAUUACUGGGCGUAAAGCGCACGUAGGCGGCUUUGCAGGUUAGAGGUGAAAGCCCGGGGCUCAACUCCGGAAUUGCCUUUAAAACUGCAUCGCUAGAAUUGUGGAGAGGUAAGUGGAAUUCCGAGUGUAGAGGUGAAAUUCGUAGAUAUUCGGAAGAACACCAGUGGCGAAGGCGACUUACUGGACACAUAUUGACGCUGAGGUGCGAAAGCGUGGGGAGCAAACAGU